Molecule: ribosomal RNA, 503 nt
Filed under: uncultured bacterium
Lineage: Bacteria
Description: partial 16S ribosomal RNA
Rfam family: Bacterial small subunit ribosomal RNA
Source: RNAcentral
AUUGAACGCUGGCGGCAGGCUUAACACAUGCAAGUCGAGCGGAGUGAUGGUGCUUGCACUAUCACUUAGCGGCGGACGGGUGAGUAAUGCUUAGGAAUCUGCCUAUUAGUGGGGGACAACAUCUCGAAAGGGAUGCUAAUACCGCAUACGUCCUACGGGAGAAAGCAGGGGAUCACUUGUGACCUUGCGCUAAUAGAUGAGACUAAGUCGGAGUAGCUAGUUGGUGGGGUAAAGGCCUACCAAGGCGACGAUCUGUAGCGGGUCUGAGAGGAUGAUCCGCCACACUGGGACUGAGACACGGCCCAGACUCCUACGGGAGGCAGCAGUGGGGAAUAUUGGACAAUGGGGGGAACCCUGAUCCAGCCAUGCCGCGUGUGUGAAGAAGGCCUUAUGGUUGUAAAGCACUUUAAGCGAGGAGGAGGCUCUUUUGGUUAAUACCCAAGAUGAGUGGACGUUACUCGCAGAAUAAGCACCGGCUAACUCUGUGCCAGCCGCCGCCGUAA